CUUGCCCUUAGAAGCUUUGCAGGUAUGACUGCUGUGUCACAUUGAUGUCAGUAGGUGGCAGAGAAGAGAAAGGCUUUGUCUAUGCUGUGUUCUGACGUGUGAGCAUUUGAAUGAUUAGCCUAAUAUU
Apodemus sylvaticus (European woodmouse) is the source of this 127-nucleotide small nucleolar RNA. RefSeq annotates it as small nucleolar RNA SNORA17. Lineage: Eukaryota; Metazoa; Chordata; Mammalia; Rodentia; Muridae. The record is from RefSeq and is a predicted model, not a curated record. The transcript has a single exon.